RNAcentral lists this unclassified non-coding RNA (348 nucleotides) under soil metagenome. RNAcentral's name for it is "partial contains 5.8S ribosomal RNA, internal transcribed spacer 2, and large subunit ribosomal RNA". The stretch from base 1 to 120 matches the Rfam family "5.8S ribosomal RNA", at positions 35 to 154 of the family's 154-position model. The record is from RNAcentral.
GAUGAAGAACGCAGCGAAAUGCGAUAAGUAAUGUGAAUUGCAGAAUUCAGUGAAUCAUCGAAUCUUUGAACGCACAUUGCGCCCGCGAGUAUUCUCGCGGGCAUGCCUGUCCGAGCGUCAUUUCAACCCUCAAGCCCCCGGGUUUGGUGUUGGGGAUCGGCUCUGCCCUUCUGGGCGGUGCCGCCCCCGAAAUACAUUGGCGGUCUCGCUGCAGCCUCCAUUGCGUAGUAGCUAACACCUCGCAACUGGAACGCGGCGCGGCCAUGCCGUAAAACCCCAACUUCUGAAUGUUGACCUCGGAUCAGGUAGGAAUACCCGCUGAACUUAAGCAUAUCAAUAAGCGGAGGA